Molecule: small RNA, 176 nt
Filed under: human gut metagenome
Description: Bacteroidales-1 6S-Bacteroidales RNA suggested
Rfam family: Bacteroidales-1 6S-Bacteroidales RNA suggested
Source: RNAcentral
AGUAGAUUGGGAAACUCGUCAAUUUUUACUGAAAUGCCGAGAACAAGCUUAGCCGACCGAUGGCGGGCCUCGAUUCCCGCCCUGCGCGGGGAAGCCUUAGAGCCGGAGGAUUACAAAGGGCGGCGAGCACUCAAAUCCUGUCUUUUCGGAGUUUCAUCGCAUCCUUUGAUGUGGCC